UCAUCGAGCGCAUGCAUUCGUGACGAAACUGUAAAGCAUGCGCACGUUUAAACAGUACACAGGACAACGAACAAUUAUCGCAACUUUCGUCGUUGACCAUUCCUGACAUGCACCGCGCGCGUGUUCUAGAUCUUCAAGUUACACAUUUAAUCACAAUUAAUCAUAAAAUGAAAGAAUUCGUCGGUUGCUUAAUUCUUAACGCACAACACAUUAGACGCCAUAAUAUGAAGGAAACGAGUCAGAAUUACUUGCAACGUCAUACGACAAGCAUCGGCUCGACGAUCUUGUUGCUGAUAAACGAACGAACGAUGCUACUUUCCAGGUGAAACUAGAUAAAAUGUACCGGUGGUUUGCGUAAGAAGGAUCCAAAGCGCAAGUACUGUCAAGCAUGGAUGAGUAACGACCAACAACUAACUCGUUAAGCGAAUUCUCGUUUCCGAUCUAUAGUUCGAGACGUGUGAUCUAUCGAAUAUUUUCCUGGGCCCUAGCGGUUUCUAUCGUUGACGUGGUAAAACUUUAACGAGUAAUAGCAAGAAAGGGAAAUCUCACCGUCUGGAAGCGAUGCGUUGCGG
Long non-coding RNA from Bombus pyrosoma, 572 nucleotides. RefSeq lists it as uncharacterized. Lineage: Eukaryota; Metazoa; Arthropoda; Insecta; Hymenoptera; Apidae. The transcript is spliced from 3 exons. The record is from RefSeq and is a predicted model, not a curated record.